This 422-nucleotide ribosomal RNA is filed under the name uncultured bacterium. Its description in RNAcentral is "bacterial SSU rRNA". It matches the Rfam family "Bacterial small subunit ribosomal RNA", at positions 355 to 774 of the family's 1533-position model. The record is from RNAcentral.
UAAGGAAUAUUGGUCAAUGGACGCAAGUCUGAACCAGCCAUGCCGCGUGAGGGAUUAAGGCCCUCUGGGUUGUAAACUUCUUUUAUAGGGGAAGAAAUGUGACGGUUCUCCGUCACUUGACGGUACCCUGGGAAUAAGCACCGGCUAACUCCGUGCCAGCAGCCGCGGUACUACGGAGGGUGCAAGCGUUAUCCGGAUUCACUGGGCUUAAAGGGUGCGUAGGUGGGCAGUUAAGUCAUUGGUGAAAUCUUCCGGCUUAACCGGGAAACUGCCGUUGAUACUAUUUGUCUUGAAUAUUGCGGAGGUAAGCGGAAUAUGUCAUGUAGCGGUGAAAUGCUUAGAUAUGACAUAGAACACCAAUUGCGAAGGCAGCUUACUACACAAUCAUUGACGCUGAGGCACGAAAGCGUGGGUAGCGAACA